Molecule: ribosomal RNA, 453 nt
Filed under: uncultured Porphyromonadaceae bacterium
Lineage: Bacteria; Pseudomonadati; Bacteroidota; Bacteroidia; Bacteroidales; Porphyromonadaceae
Description: partial 16S ribosomal RNA
Rfam family: Bacterial small subunit ribosomal RNA
Source: RNAcentral
ACGGAAGGCAGCAGUGAGGAAUAUUGGUCAAUGGACGGGAGUCUGAACCAGCCAAGCCGCGUGAAGGAUGAAGGUAUUAUGUAUUGUAAACUUCUUUAGCAGUGGAGUAAUAAGGGGAUCGCGAUCCCUGAUGCAAGUACACUGAGAAUAAGGAUCGGCUAACUCCGUGCCAGCAGCCGCGGUAAUACGGAGGAUCCGAGCGUUAUCCGGAUUUAUUGGGUUUAAAGGGUGCGCAGGCGGCUUUUUAAGUCAGUGGUUAAAUCGUGACGCUCAACGUCAUCACGCCAUUGAUACUGGAGAGCUGGAUUGCGGUAGAGGUUUGCGGAAUUCGUUGUGUAGCGGUGAAAUGCAUAGAUAUGACGAAGAACACCGAUUGCGUAGGCAGCAGACCAGGCCGUAAAUGACGCUCAUGCACGAAAGUGCGGGGAUCGAACAGGAUUAGAUACCCUGGUA